GACGAACGCUGGCGGCGUGCCUAAUACAUGCAAGUAGAACGCUGAAGGAGGAGCUUGCUUCUCUGGAUGAGUUGCGAACGGGUGAGUAACGCGUAGGUAACCUGCCUGGUAGCGGGGGAUAACUAUUGGAAACGAUAGCUAAUACCGCAUAAGAGUAGAUGUCGCAUGACAUUUGCUUAAAAGGUGCAAUUGCAUCACUACCAGAUGGACCUGCGUUGUAUUAGCUAGUUGGUGAGGUAACGGCUCACCAAGGCAACGAUACAUAGCCGACCUGAGAGGGUGAUCGGCCACCCUGGGACUGAGACACGGCCCAGACUCCUACGGGAGGCAGCAGUAGGGAAUCUUCGGCAAUGGACGGAAGUCUGACCGAGCAACGCCGCGUGAGUGAAGAAGGUUGUCGGAUCGUAAAGCUCUGUUGUAAGAGAAGAACGAGUGUGAGAGUGGAAAGUUCACACUGUGACGGUAUCUUACCAGAAAGGGACGGCUAACUACGUG
This 495-nucleotide ribosomal RNA is filed under the name uncultured bacterium. RNAcentral describes it as "partial 16S ribosomal RNA". It matches the Rfam family "Bacterial small subunit ribosomal RNA", at positions 28 to 507 of the family's 1533-position model. The record is from RNAcentral.